This 468-nucleotide ribosomal RNA is filed under the name uncultured bacterium. RNAcentral describes it as "partial 16S ribosomal RNA". It matches the Rfam family "Bacterial small subunit ribosomal RNA", at positions 28 to 507 of the family's 1533-position model. The record is from RNAcentral.
GACGAACGCUGGCGGCGUGCUUAACACAUGCAAGUCGAACGGAAAGGCCCUGCUUUGGUGGGGUGCUCGAGUGGCGAACGGGUGAGUAACACGUGAGUAACCUGCCCUUGACUUUGGGAUAACUUCAGGAAACUGGGGCUAAUACCGGAUAGGAGCUCCGGCUGCAUGGUGGGGGUUGGAAAGUUUGGGCGGUUGGGGAUGGACUCGCGGCUUAUCAGCUUGUUGGUGGGGUAGUGGCUUACCAAGGCUUGGACGGGUAGCCGGCCUGAGAGGGUGACCGGCCACAUUGGGACUGAGAUACGGCCCAGACUCCUCCGGGAGGCAGCAGUGGGGAAUAUUGCACAAUGGGCGGAAGCCUGAUGCAGCAACGCCGCGUGCGGGAUGACGGCCUUCGGGUUGUAACCCGCUUUCGCCUGUGACGAAGCGUGAGUGACGGUAAUGGGUAAAGAAGCACCGGCUAACUACGUG